RNAcentral lists this transfer RNA (72 nucleotides) under Sphaerodactylus townsendi. RNAcentral describes it as "tRNA-Ala". Lineage: Eukaryota; Metazoa; Chordata; Lepidosauria; Squamata; Sphaerodactylidae. The record is from RNAcentral.
GGGGUUGUGGCUUGGUGGCAGAGCAUCCACUUGGCAUGCAGAAGGUUCCACGUUCAAGCUCUGGCAUCACCU